CCUACGGGAGGCAGCAGUAGGGAAUUUUCGUCAAUGGGCGCAAGCCUGAACGAGCGAUGCCGCGUGAGUGAAGAAGGCCUUCGGGUCGUAAAGCUCUGUUGCGGGGGAAAAAAGGCAGCAUCAGGAAAUGGGUGCUGACUGAUGGUGCCCCGCCAGAAAGUCACGGCUAACUACGUGCCAGCAGCCGCGGUAAUACGUAGGUGGCGAGCGUUAUCCGGAAUGAUUGGGCGUAAAGGGUGCGCAGGCGGUCCUGCAAGUCUGGAGUGAAACGCAUGAGCUCAACUCAUGCAUGGCUUUGGAAACUGGAGGACUGGAGAGCAGGAGAGGGCGGUGGAACUCCAUGUGUAGCGGUAAAAUGCGUAGAUAUAUGGAAGAACACCAGUGGCGAAGGCGGCCGCCUGGCCUGUUGCUGACGCUGAGGCACGAAAGCGUGGGGAGCAAAUAGGAUUAGAUACCCCAGUAGUC
RNAcentral lists this ribosomal RNA (465 nucleotides) under uncultured bacterium. RNAcentral describes it as "partial 16S ribosomal RNA". It matches the Rfam family "Bacterial small subunit ribosomal RNA", at positions 338 to 795 of the family's 1533-position model. The record is from RNAcentral.